CCUAGAAAUGGGGAAUAACUCCUCGAAAGAGGAGCUAAUACCGCAUAAGACCACAGCCACUACGGUGGACGGGGUUAAAGGUGACCUCUAUUUAUAAGUUACCGUUUCUAGAUGAGCCUGCGCAGCAUUAGCUAGUUGGUAGGGUAAUGGCCUACCAAGGCUACGAUGCUUAGCUGGUCUGAGAGGAUGAUCAGCCACACUGGAACUGAGACACGGUCCAG
Molecule: ribosomal RNA, 221 nt
Filed under: uncultured bacterium
Lineage: Bacteria
Description: partial 16S ribosomal RNA
Rfam family: Bacterial small subunit ribosomal RNA
Source: RNAcentral